GGAAGGGGCGAGCGUUGUUCGGAAUCAUUGGGCGUAAAGGGCGCGUAGGUGGUUCUGUGUGUCUACUGUGAAAGCGUACAGCUCAACUGUAUUUUGUCGGUAGAAACUGCAGGACUUGAGGCUGGGAGGGGCUGGUGGAAUUCCCUGUGUAGCGGUGAAAUGCGUAGAGAUGGGGGAGAACACUCGUGGCGAAGGCGGCCAGCUAGACCAGUUCUGACACUGAGGCGCGACAGCGUGGGGAGCAAACAGGAUUAGAUACCCUGGUAGUCCACGCUGUAAACGAUGGGCACUAGGUGCCGGCGGUCUUGAUCCCGUCGGUGCCGGCGCUAACGCAGUAAGUGCCCCGCCUGGGGAGUACGGUCGCAAGGCUGAA
RNAcentral lists this ribosomal RNA (373 nucleotides) under uncultured bacterium. RNAcentral's name for it is "bacterial SSU rRNA". It matches the Rfam family "Bacterial small subunit ribosomal RNA", at positions 527 to 898 of the family's 1533-position model. The record is from RNAcentral.